CCGUAGCUCAGCAGGAUAGAGCAACGGACUUCUAAUCCGUAGGUCGCAGGUUCGAGUCCUGCCGGG
RNAcentral lists this transfer RNA (66 nucleotides) under marine eukaryotic metagenome. It matches the Rfam family "tRNA", at positions 5 to 66 of the family's 71-position model. Rfam says of the family: Transfer RNA (tRNA) molecules are approximately 80 nucleotides in length. Their secondary structure includes four short double-helical elements and three loops (D, anti-codon, and T loops). The record is from RNAcentral.